AGGUGGUAAAACUUAUUUGGUUAGCAAAAACCCAAUCAUUAGUUAUAAAUUAUUUGUAUAUUGGAGAAGGUUAAGAGUAAGAGUUUUAGAUUAUGUGUUAGUGAAAUAGGUACAAGUUUUCAAAAAUAAUCUUUUCCAUUAAAGCAGUAAGAACACUAAUGAAAAGUUUCAGAGUAACUUUGUUAGAGUUGUAGAAAUUAAAGGCUAUAGUAAUCUAGAAAGUGUUUGUGUAACUAUAAAUAAAGACUGCACUUUGUGGUGUUUUCAUGUGCAUGAUUCACAGGCCUUCCUCCCCAGCUCCAUGGUAACCCUGAAAACCAGCACCCUGGAAUCAAGAUGAAGUUUAGCAGAGUGGCAACCACUGGAGGAAGUAGAAGGGUUUGGAAUUCCUUCAUAGUCUCAUUUCUAGAGAAUUCUUCAACCUUUUGGGUUGUUUCUUGGAAUAUUUUACUUAAAAAUCUGAAUUUAUUCAACCUAAUUUGGAGUUUGCCCACUGUGAACCACAGCCUUUAGCCCAAAAGCACUGUGAGAAACAAUCAAAAUCAGGGCUGGGGGUGUACCACUUGCCCAGUAUGUGUGAGAUACCGGGUUUGAUCCUCAGCAUCACAUAAAAAUAAGUAAAUAAAAUAAAGGUAUCAUGUCCAUAUACAACUUAAAUUUUUAAAAAGGCCUAAAAAAUUCAUAAGAAAAAUAAUCAAAAUCAAUUGUUGGACAUUGCAGCUGCCUAUGACAGUAGAUAACUAUUGGGGUGAACAGUGGCCUAACCAAACAGCUUAAAAGGAAAAGCAGAUAAAUGAGAUGUCCAUAAUGGCUUUGAAAAGUUCUGAUAUAUUCCAUAAAAUUUAGUUGGUUAUGUGCUUUAUAGGGCUCUAUACAUGCCAGGGCUCUAAGCAUGCUCAGGAAAAACCAGGAAGUUCUUGAUCUGUUACCUUUGGAUAACCUUGAGUCUGUGCAAAUAGAAAAUGAAGGCAAGCAGAGUCGUAAACUGCUUACCUGAGUGUUGAAGGUAUGCCUCAAUAUAUAUACAUUGAUCUUUGACAAAGGCCACUGUUCACCCCAAUAGUUAUUGAUUUAAUGGUUUGAGGUAUGUAAGAGUAUCUCUGGUUAGUCAUUAGCUGACCAUUAAGCUCAGUGAGUGGAAACUUCUGUGGUCACAGGUCAAGGGGGAGGAAAAAAAUAGAAACAAUAUCAACAGCAAACACUGGGGAUAAAGGAAAAUCUGAUUCCUAGAGUUGCUCCAUUAUACAAUUUAAUACACCCAGUGUUUGACAGUUUUUUGAGACAUGCAAAGAAAAAAUGAAGCGUGAUCCAAUUCAGG
This 1318-nucleotide long non-coding RNA is filed under the name Marmota monax (woodchuck). Lineage: Eukaryota; Metazoa; Chordata; Mammalia; Rodentia; Sciuridae. The record is from RNAcentral.